Long non-coding RNA from Monodelphis domestica (gray short-tailed opossum), 2408 nucleotides. The record is from Ensembl. NCBI's taxonomy places the organism in Eukaryota, Metazoa, Chordata, Mammalia, Didelphimorphia, Didelphidae.
AGCCAUUUCACUUCCCAGGUGUGUCUGUCUUAUCUAGCCAACCCCUCAGUAUGUUCCUGGGGGGCAGGGAUGACUCUACAUGUAUUGACUUUGCCAUUAUAUGCUUACUAUGUGAAGGGCCCUGUGCUAAGAGAUGCAGAGACAACAAAAAUUAAAUAGUCCUUGUUCUCAAGGAGUUUAUAGUCUACUGGAUGUGUGUGAUAUAUUGUUGUUAUUUAGUCAAUUUUCAGUCCUAUCCUACUCUUUGUGACUCCACUGGGUUGUUGUUGUUUUUUGGGCAAAGAUACUAGAAUGGUUCAUCAUUUCCUUCUCCAGCUCAUUUUACAGAUGAGGAAACUGAGGCAAACAGGGUGCGGUGACAUGUCCAGGAUCACAUAGUCAGGAAGUAUAUGAGGCCAGAUCUGGGCUCAGGAAUAUGAGUCUUCUUGACUCCAGGCCCAGGGCUCCAGCCACUUUGCCUCUUAGCUGUCCACAUACAGCAUAAGCACAGAUAAAUAAAUGCGGAGUAAUCUGAGAGAAGGGAGAACCCCAAGGACUAAAGGGGAUCCAGAUGAUCCUGAGUCAAGCCUUGCCAGGAACCUUAGACUUCUAGGCGGCAGAGCUGAGAGGCCUGGGGUAGAGCCUGCCCAAAGAGAGGAAGAUGGUGAUAACGCGUCAUUUGGAGGACAGCAAAUGGGCCGGCUCGGCUGGAACAUCAAUUAUUUGAAGGCAAAUACUGUAAAGUGCUAUUAUUAUCCCUCUUUCGGUUGAAGAAACUGAAGUGAAGUGACUUCUCAAGAAAGAUCUCAGGCUUGAACUCAAGUCUUUCUGGUUCCAUGCCCAAUGUUCUAUUCACUGCACCACCUGGAAGCCAAGGUGGAUACAUACAAAUUUCCAUCUGCAUUGAUGGAGGAAGUCUUCCCAUUAAAAAUCACAAGUCUCUCAAUGUCUUGAGGUAUGGUGAUAGUAACUGCUCUGGCCUCCAGUUUCACAUUGACCUUGGAAUUUUUGAAAUUACAUAGACUAAUUCUAUUGACUUGGCACAUUGUCAUGUAACAUGUAACAUGUAACAUGUAACAUGACAUAGGGCAUGUGGUACAUUUUGUACAUUAAAGUACUGCUUGUGCAAUGAAUGGUGAGAUGGGUAAGUAGCAGGUCCCUUUGGUCCACCUUGGCUAGUGCCCACUCCGUGGAGUCACAUAUUUCAGGGAGAAGUCCAGGAGACAGAUGUAGCACCCCCAGAGGUAUGCUUCAGCCAGUGCAGACCCGCAGGGCCUCCUGUUUUUUCCGGUUACACCUAUUAAAACUAAUAUUGAAAUAAUAUUAUUACCAAUCACUGAUUGAGAAGCAAUUUUCAACUGCCUGAACUAUAAUGAAACCAGCUUUUAGGUUAAGAGUGAAUGUGGUCAGAGCUGGGAGCUGAUUCAGUGACUAGGAAGGAAGAAGUUAAGUCACAGGUAAAGGGAGAGUGGGAGAAUGAUAGAGCAUUUAUUAAGUAAUUACUAUGUCCCAGGCACUGUAUUAAGCUCAAGUUACAAAUAGAAGCAAGCAAGACAGUCCUUUCCCCUAGGGAGCUUAAAUUCUAAGGGGGGGAGACAAUAGAAAAAAAGGAGUUAUAAGAUCAGAGAGCAAGGGCCCUGUGGAGAUGGCCAGUGAUGUGGAAGCCUGCACUGGUCAAGAUAAGAUGGAAGCUCACCUAUCAGAACUGGACACCCAGGGCUGGAGUUGUAUGUUUCAGUGGAGGGGGUAGGGGAUUGGGUGGGGGAAAUGAGGAUGAUGUUUAGAGUAUAGGGAGCAUGCUGUGGAGAUGGCCAGGAAGAAGAGAAGGAAGAAACAGAAUAGAAAGGAAAGAAUUGCUUUAAAGUCUUUAAAAAAUUAUCUUAUUUUAAUUGAUGUCUUUUGCUCUUAUAUCAACAUCAUUUCCAAAUCUGUCCAUUCCUCUCCUCUAACCAAGUAUAUGUCCCAAGGGGUGGCCGGAGGAAGCAAUUCAUCAGAAUCAACCAACAUCUCAAUGGAGCUACAUAUUAUACACAAUAUUCCACAGCCAUAACUCCUCCUAUCCCUGCAAAGAAGGGGUUGAGGCACAUUAUCUCAGCUCAUCUCUAGAGCCAUGCUUGGCCAUUAUUAUUACACGGUGCUGGGUUUCACUUGUUUUUGUUCUUUUCAUUUACAUUGUUAUAAUUAUUAUUUAUGUUAAUUUCUUGAUUUACUUUUCCUGCUUAAGUUUGUAUAAGUUUUCCCAUGAUUCUCUAAAUUUUUCCCAUUUCUUGUUUCUUAUAGUACACUCAUUCUAUUUUGUAACCCAGUUUGUUUAGCCAUUUGUUUAUUAAUGGGUACUUACUUUGUUUCCAGUUCCUUGAGAUUACAAAAAAGUGCUGUUUUUAAUAUUUUGGAAUAAACAGUGUGUAAUUGGAAAUGUUACCCUAAAA